GAGGACCAUUUAAAGCCUACAAUUUAUUUAAUUUCUUUUGUGUGGCAUGCACUUACAACAAUUGAACUCUAGAACUUGCUUAGCUUCUUUUCAAGGUCACAAUAGCAUAUGUAUGCAUGGAGAUGAAGGAUUAUUUUCAUUCUUGAUCCCUUGUAAAUUCCAAUUCCCUACUUCAUAAGUUUCUUAAAACAUUUUCCUCUUGCAUUGUAACCUUUGAUCAUCUUUGCUUGCUUUAUUUUGUUGAGAGUAUGGAUUAAUUGCUUGAUGAGUUUACUCGACCAAGAGGUGGAUAAAGGUUAAGUGUGGGGGAGAAUUGCAUAUGCUUGAGAUUCAUGGAGGAUUUUUUUUUUUUUUUGGAAGUUCUUGAACUUGUGAAAUUAAGUUGAUGGCUGCAUUGCUUGAGGUUAAGGAUGCUUAUCAAUUUUGGAGCAGAAUUCUCAAUUCUUUUUGCAGUUUAAUUGAAAUCUGAGAAGUUGCUAUUUAGAAUUCUGCAGAAAAUUGAAGGUAUCAAAAUUGUGCCGGAAUUCAGGAGAAGUUUUGAAACCAAUGUGAAACUCAAAAUGAGGAAUGACUGAACAAGGCAGGAAAUUCAAAAACAAAAUAAAAAAAAGUGAGCCUUUGUAAUUACUGAAAGGUGAUUUUAAUAGAUCAAAAUUCGGAAUUCAAAUGGUGGUAAUUAUUUCAUCAACAAAGUACUUUAAUAUAGUAUCAUUUCCUUUGAGAAGGUGAGAAAAAGGGCAGCAAUUGGAACUUUUAACAGUGAGGUGAUAAAGCUGGAAACAGAAUUCAGAACAUAUGGAAACAAGUUGAGCAACUUUUUCAUUAUCAGCCUUAAGAUCUUUGGGAAGUUAUUGAAACUCUUGCAUUUCCAGCAGCAAAUGUGGAUUACUUUCUUUCCAAUCCUCUACAAAUUUGCUAGAUAGGAAUUUGAAAGUAUCAAGUUGCUGGAAUUCUUGAAUUGCAGUAAACCUUCUAAGUGAUGCUAUAAGCUGAGAUAAAAUGUGAAAUGAGGCUAUCAUUUGACUUAAUGAUUGAAAAGUUCUAUGGAAAUAAAUUGUUCAAGCUUGUAGUGAAGCUAAUUGCAAAGAUGAGGGAAUAGGUUGAUAAAUUAAGGAUAUGAAGGGAAAAGAGAUCUGAAACAUGUUUAAAACAGUGAGGUGAAAAACAGAUUUCAAUUUUGAAUUGUAUCAAGUGUGUGUCCACUUUUAUCAGCAGGCUUCAAAUCAUUAAGAAACGUAAAUGAAGAUCUGGUAUUUUCAGUAACAAAUGGUGGUUAAUUUGGUUAUUGUUGUGCUCUAUUUUUGGCAAGAGAAUUCUUCAUGUAGCAUACCUACAUGGCUGCUGAAAUGGAAAACUGUAAGUGCUGAAACAUGGAUCUGCGGCUGAAAACCUGAUCAAAGAGCAGGAUUUGAACUUCAAUUAGUGAUUGCCAUUCAAUUCAAGAAGCAUUCCUUAUGAUAUAAUAAGGUUUUUAAAGGAAAAUUGGAACUGAUGUCAGCCAAUUGAUACUUAAAGCAGUAAAGAGAUGAAGGCUGAGAAAAGUCUACUUUAAAUCUGUGUGGAAUCAAAUCUGUUAUUUUCAAAUCACAAAUGGGAGCAUGUUCCAGCUAAUUAUGAGAGGAAGCUCAGCAGAUUUAAAAGGUUGUGUGUCUUGUGCCAAAGAUUUCCGAGAGUUCUAUAGAUCAAAAUCCUGAAAUCUGAAAUCUGUAAUCUGUGUGCUGCUGGAAGUUGUGUAAUUUCCAGAACCUAGAAAGACUUUAAAGAUGUAAAAUUUCAGUGAUUCAAUUCAGAGCUGAAUGAUACUCUUUGUCAAAUUUGAUUCUUCAUGUUUCAAACAAAUUCCCUCAAGGAAGAGUAUCAAAUUUCUGAAACUGCUACUCAAAUGCAGAAAUCAGGAGUUGAUGAUGUUGAUUCAAAGAGCUGUGUGCACUGUUUCUUAACAGAUGCUGCUGUAGUUGAUCAAUGGAGCUAAUGUGCAUGAGUAUAGAGCAAGAAAAGUUAAUAGUAGGGAGUGUUCAGGUUGACACAGGAACUUUGAAAUUGCAAAUUCAGAUAGAGCAGAAUUUCAGAGGUUGAGUAUUAAGUUGAGGACACAUUGUAUCAUGAUUUUUGGAUAGCUAUCCAAUUGAAGAAGAUGUCCCUACAAUUCUGCACAACAAGAAUCUCUGAACCCAGCAAUGGCUUGUUCUGAAAAGAAGUUGUCUGCUAUUAAAUUUCAGCAAUUCUGUUUGCUGAACUUUGCUUGUUAUAGACAGUUACAAGAUCCUGAAAUCUGUGGAAGAGGUUUAUUGAGAAAGGAAGAAAAUUACAAAAUGAAGUAAUGAGAAUCUGUAGAAAAUUGAGGCUGCAGUAAUAUGUAAAUGAAGAGCUUAGUGUCAAUGUUGUGCCAAAGAUGUAUGCUCUUUUCAAUCAGCAGCAACAUGAAGUUUAACCUCUACCAAUUCAGUGACAAAGUGUGGUUUUCUUUUAAAGGAAGCUUUGCCCUCUCAUUAACAAUUAGAAGUGAUGAAGUGCAGGAAUGCAAUGGUGUAAAAUUUUCUCUGAUCAGGAGCAAGAAACUGAAACUGUAACACAAAGAAAAGGCUGUGGAAAUCUGCAGAAUUGUAGUGCAGAGUUGAAAAAUCUGUAUCAGUUUUGUAUCAAGAUUUGGAAGCAAUAUCCAAAUGAGUGGAGGCUUAAUUGAAUAUUAAGAAGGUGCUGAAAACAAAUGGUAUGCUGUCUUUCAUGCAAUCUGCAAAACAAGGAAGGAUGAUUUCAUACAGAAUUCAUCCUGGACACAAAGAAAUGUCAGGACAGGGGGGUUGUUGUGGCUACUGGAAAUUGAUCACAAUGGACUAUAAUGGGGAAUUCAAUUGGUGGUAAUUACUUCUUCAAAGAAGCACUUGAGUGGAGUAUCAUUUAUUUUGAAAGUUGAAGAAAAGGGCAGCGAUUGGUAUUUUUAACAGUGGUGAAAAUGCUGGAAACCGAAUUCAGUUUACAUGAUUUCAAGAGUGUGUGUAUCAAGUGUGUGCAACUCUUCUUUAUCAGACCUUGGAACCCUUGGGGAAGAAAUUGAACCUCUUGAAUUUCCAGCAGCAUUUGUUGUUUAACUUCUUUCUAUUCUUUUCAAACCUGUUGGAUAUAAUUCGGAUGGUAUCAAUAGUGCAGAAUUCUGAAAUUGCAGUAGCUUUCUAAGUGAUGUUAUUGGCUGAAACAAGAUGGAAAUCAAGCUAUUGUUUGAUUUAAUGAUUGUAAAAGUUCUAUGGGAAUAAUUGAUGAAGCUUGAAGUGAGAAAGCAGUAACAUCAGAUGAGAAUAUUAAGUGUACAAAUCUGAAAUCCAGAAUUUUGUGGGGUGCAGAAUUAUGCAAUUCUGAUAAGCUGAAAGCUGUAAAGUUGAGAGAUGAGUAAAAGAAAAUUCAGAAAUGAAACCAAGAAAAGGAGAAGCUUACAUGAUGUUUUGUAACGUGAAUCAACAAAUGAAAUUACCACUGAGAAGCAGUAAACCAGGAAAUGCAGAUUUUGCAAAAUGAAUUUGGCCUUUGUGUGCCAAUUUGAGAAUUGAAUUUCAUGAGCUAGAGCUGCUGAAACCUGGAAAGCUUUUGAGCAUGCAUUGUAAAGGGUAUUAAGAGACAAGAUGAAGAAGUAAUGAAAUUUCUUGUGGCUAAACAGUUACAUUUUGAUACAAAGUCUAGAAAUCUGUAUUUUACUGCAUAAAUAGAGUUCAAGUAAAUUAGUUCAUGAAUAAGUCGAAAUCUAGCUGUUAUUUGAGUGGUGAUUAAUGAACAUCUUGCUUCUCCAGAGAUACAAGACUCUUAGACAAGAAAUUUGAUACCAAACAAGGAAACAAAAACUGAAAACUGAAGAUUGAAUUAAAUCUACAGUUUUGGUAUUAAAGCUGUUAUUUGGUAUUGAAGCAGCAGAAAGUUAAAGUUUAAGCUGAAGUUUUGUGCCAUUGCAGUAAAAGAGGUUACUGCAAGUCAAGUUCAGAAGAGGAAGUUGCAGGAUUUUAGAAGCUAUACGACUCUGCACAUUGAUGUUAAAUGCUAAUGAUAGAAUAGAUGGAACUUGGCAUAUGUUAGAGGAGGAAGAGAUGCAGGAAUGUUAAUUGCAUCUAGUAAUUGUUAGUUAGAGCCCUAGAGUCAAUCAUUUGAUGAUUGUAUGGACUCAUGUAUAUCAUAUUCAUGUAUAUAUAUUAAGGAAUUUGGUUUUUGGUUAU
Zingiber officinale is the source of this 4196-nucleotide long non-coding RNA. RefSeq lists it as uncharacterized. NCBI's taxonomy places the organism in Eukaryota, Viridiplantae, Streptophyta, Magnoliopsida, Zingiberales, Zingiberaceae. The record is from RefSeq and is a predicted model, not a curated record. The transcript is spliced from 2 exons.